RNAcentral lists this transfer RNA (87 nucleotides) under Myxococcales bacterium. RNAcentral's name for it is "tRNA-Ser". It matches the Rfam family "tRNA". From Rfam's summary of the family: Transfer RNA (tRNA) molecules are approximately 80 nucleotides in length. Their secondary structure includes four short double-helical elements and three loops (D, anti-codon, and T loops). Further hydrogen bonds mediate the characteristic L-shaped molecular structure. tRNAs have two regions of fundamental functional importance: the anti-codon, which is responsible for specific mRNA codon recognition, and the 3' end, to which the tRNAs corresponding amino acid is attached (by aminoacyl-tRNA synthetases). tRNAs cope with the degeneracy of the genetic code in two manners: having more than one tRNA (with a specific anti-codon) for a particular amino acid; and 'wobble' base-pairing, i.e. permitting non-standard base-pairing at the 3rd anti-codon position. The record is from RNAcentral. Lineage: Bacteria; Pseudomonadati; Myxococcota; Myxococcia; Myxococcales.
GGGAGGAUGCCCGAGUGGAAAGGGUCCCGCGGUGAAAGCGGAGGACUGGCGUAACAGCCGACGUGGGUUCGAUUCCCACUCCUGCCG